Molecule: non-coding RNA, 2698 nt
Organism: Camellia sinensis
Lineage: Eukaryota; Viridiplantae; Streptophyta; Magnoliopsida; Ericales; Theaceae
Source: RefSeq, a predicted model, not a curated record
GGACAAGCUAUCUUUCCAUUUAUCAGAUCAAAUCCAUCUCUCUCUCCCCAUUUCCCAUUUCCCCUUUUCCUUCUUCAUUCUCUCUCUACUUCAUAUAUUUCCAUAUCUUCAAACAAAAACUGGAAAAAAAAAAAUUAAAAAAAUUAUACAUAUAUAUUGGACCAUCUAUGUUUAUUAGAUGUUUGGUGUAUGUAAAUUUAUGUAUUUUUGUGAUUUGAAUGUGAAAGAAUUGGUAAGAAUACAGAAAGAGAAAAUUUUUGGGGGUUUGUGUUGAGGAUUGUGAGCAUGCCCUCAGUUCUUACUGUGCCUCCUCUUAGAUCUUAGUGUUUUUGAAGAUUUCACAUCUGGGUUUUCUUUAAUCAGGGGCGUUGAAUUCUGUGUGGGUUGAUCGUGAAAGGAUCUGAUGUUUUUGGAUUGAAUUCGAGGAUAUCCAAGUUGUGCCUUGCUGGUUUGUGGGUUUUCUGGAAUUCUUCGAAGAAAGGGAAAAUGCAAUCCGAUCUUGGAAAGUUAUUUAUUGGUGGAAUUUCUUGGGACACAAAUGAAGAUCGUUUGAAGGAGUAUUUUAGUGGGUAUGGGGAAGUUUUGGAAGCAGUAAUUAUGAAGGAUCGGAGCACAGGGCGCGCCCGUGGUUUUGGUUUUGUUGUCUUUGCCGACCCGGUAGUUGCAGAGAGAGUCAUUAAGGAGAAACACAACAUUGAUGGCAGGAUGGUUGAGGCAAAAAAGGCUGUUCCAAGGGAUGACCAAAGCACAAUGAGUAGAUGCAGCAGUAGUAUUCAGGGGUCUCCCGGUCCAGGACGCACGAGGAAGAUAUUCGUUGGAGGUUUAGCUUCUACAGUCACCGAGAGCGACUUUAGAAUGUAUUUUGAGCAGUUUGGGACCAUCACGGAUGUCGUGGUGAUGUAUGAUCACAACACCCAGAGACCAAGAGGCUUUGGAUUCAUCACCUAUGAUUCAGAGGAUGCGGUGGACAAAGUGUUGCUUAAAACUUUCCAUGAACUGAAUGGUAAAAUGGUUGAGGUCAAGCGUGCAGUCCCCAAAGAGUUGUCGCCAGGUCCUAGCCGAAGCCCACUUGGUGGAUAUAACUAUGGUUUGAGUAGGAUCAACAGCUUGCUCAAUGGCUACACUCAAGGGUACUCUCCAAAUACAGUUGGAGGCUAUGGCCUUAGAAUGGAUGGUAGAUUUAAUCCGAUCACUGGUGGUCGAAGUGGGUAUGCUCCAUUUGGUUCUGGUUAUGGAAUGGGUUUGAACUUCGAACCAGGGUUGAAUCCAAAUUUCGGGGGAAGUGCAAACUUAAAUAGUAAUCUGACCUAUGGACGGGGAUUGAACCCUUAUUAUGUUGGUAAUUCAAAUAGGUUUGCGAAUCCUGUUGGGUAUGAUGGAGGGAAUGGAGGAAACACUUCCUUUUUCAGCUCGGGGAAUCGGAAUUUGUGGGGGAAUGGAGGACUUAAUUACGGAACAAGCUCAGCAGGUUCGAGUGCCUUUGUAGGGUCUGGAGGUGGAAGCAUUGGAGGCCCCUUUGCCAACAGUGGAUUUAAUUGGGGUUCUUCUCCAAUUUCACCCCAAGGUGAAGCUAAUGUUUCUAGCCAAGGUGGAAAUCUUGGUUAUGGAGGUGGUGAUAAUAGCUAUGGUUUGGGCGGGGGAGUGUAUGCAAGAAAUGCUGCGACUAGUGCCCCCCCCUCAUCAUCGUAUGCUGCAUCAAAUGGUGGUUAUGAUGGGGCUUUUGCUGAUUUUUAUGGUGGUAGUUCAGUUUACGGGGACCCUACUUGGCGUUCGACAAACUUUGAGAGAGAGGGAUCUGCUUCGUUUGGUUAUGGGCUUGGCAACGGAGAGUCCGAUAUACUGCCUCAAAGUCCUUCUGGUUUUGGCGGUGGUUAUAGUAUUACUAAGAGACAGACAAAUAGAGGUGGGUGAUUGCAUGUCUCCUAUUUUUUGUGCGAGCUAGUGGGAUGUACCUCUCCACCAAGCUUGUUAUCCACUUAUCUAUAAGGAAUUGCUGGUUAGGUGGAUAUAUCAGAUAUCAGUAUGUUUUAGUAGGUGAAGAAAUUUGGUGUAGCUGUUGAAUUGUGAAUUUUGCACACUCCCUCGUGAAUAUAUCCUGGUUAAAAAAAAGUUGAAAGGAAAUUCGUUAUCUUAUCUAGAGCUAACUGGAGUGUCUGUUUUGAAGAAUUAAGUUUUAGAGAUAGAAAUUACAUGAGAUUUUGUGUUAAAAGGAUUGAGUUUUGAGUUACCAUCUUAGGGUUUAUUUUUUUGGAAUUUGAGUGAGAUGUAAAAUCAGCUAGCGGAAUAUAUAGUCAGAAGAAAUGUAUCAUGCAUCUCUGGUGAGGCGGCGAUACAUACAUGAAGGACAGACUACGAUUUUGGAAUUUUAAUUUCUAGAAUUCUAUUUCCUGCUGUAAUGUUCUCUGCAAAGUUGCGAGUUCUUAUCAGCUAAUCCUUGUUUUGUUUUUCUUGUUCCCUUCAUUGGAUUUUGUUCUUCCUCAGAUUGUACUUCCAGAGGUUGUUGUGAUUUAGUAGUGUGAAUCAUUUUGAGGGAUACCCAUCUAGGGUUCCCGGGAAUAAGUUGCCACAUUCUGAUUCUUUUUCCAUUGAACUUUCUUUCUUUACUACAAGUUUGACAUGCGUGAAACGAACUGUGUAACGAAUAUUUGACAUUAUGAUUUGUUUGGGAAAUACAAACUCACCUAAACAUUAUAUGUGA